GGGUAUCCAUUCAAGAUUAGUCUGGAGCAGUCUUCUUUGGUGUUGAUCUUUCUUCUCUAAGAAUGAUCACCCUAUGAAUCUGAAUAAAGUCUGGAUCACAAUCAACUCUUUGAUCCUUUUUUUAUCUUUUUCUUCUCUUCUUCUCUUGCUUUUCUUUUCUUGAUUAUGAAGCAAUCAAGGUCUGAAAAUUAACAAGCAAAGGGGA
This 205-nucleotide long non-coding RNA is filed under the name Elaeis guineensis (African oil palm). Its description in RNAcentral is "long non-coding RNA (EGUI_LNC058035)". The record is from RNAcentral. Lineage: Eukaryota; Viridiplantae; Streptophyta; Magnoliopsida; Arecales; Arecaceae.